This 23-nucleotide non-coding RNA is filed under the name Cricetulus griseus (Chinese hamster). Lineage: Eukaryota; Metazoa; Chordata; Mammalia; Rodentia; Cricetidae. The record is from RNAcentral.
UACUGGGAUUAAUUUUGAGAAAU